GAUUGGGUGCAGUAAAGGCUUUUUGUAAAGGUUAUUCCAUUUGAUCGACGUUGAGUUUCGAACCUAGCUGAAAAAAUAGUAAGGCUUUAAAUUUGAUAAUAAAAAAAAAUUUAUCAAAAUUCAUUGAAAAUUGAUCAAGUUGUCAACAUUUCUAAACCAUAAAUUUUGUGAGAUUAGAAUUAUCUAAGAAAUGAACACAUUUAAGUACAGAGAUACUGAGAAGAGUAAGCGAAGAAAGAACUUUCUUGGGCACGAUAAUAAAAAGAAAAGGAAACUGGAACAGACCUAUAUUGCAAAAAGAAUACAUGUUGCACGAGGCAAAUAGAAGGGCUGAUAGGGCUAGGAAAAAGAAGAAUAGAAAUGUUCAAUGACAUAUUAUAUAUGACGAGAAGAGAAGAUACAGGGAGAGUCAGUAUGCAGGAAAGCUAAAAGACCUAUGAUUGGUGACCAAAAAUGACCAAAACCUUAUUAAUAAAUAUGGUUCAAGAAGUGUUGUUUUUGUUUUUGGUGAAGCAGAAAAUGAUUUAUUUAAUAUCUAAGAAUGUUAAAAAUGCUUACAAGAUUCACAUUCAAGAUUCCCUGUAAGCAAAGGGAAUAAGUCAACCGAUGUGAAUGAUUCAAAAAACGUUCGUUCUGUACC
Long non-coding RNA from Ctenocephalides felis (cat flea), 640 nucleotides. RefSeq lists it as uncharacterized. The transcript has 3 exons. Lineage: Eukaryota; Metazoa; Arthropoda; Insecta; Siphonaptera; Pulicidae. The record is from RefSeq and is a predicted model, not a curated record.